Molecule: ribosomal RNA, 468 nt
Filed under: uncultured bacterium
Lineage: Bacteria
Description: partial 16S ribosomal RNA
Rfam family: Bacterial small subunit ribosomal RNA
Source: RNAcentral
GACGAACGCUGGCGGCGUGCUUAACACAUGCAAGUCGAACGGAAAGGCCCUGCUUUUGUGCGGUGCUCGAGUGGCGAACGGGUGAGUAACACGUGUGUAACCUGCCCUUGACUUUGGGGUAACUUCAGGAAACUGGGGCUAAUACCGGAUAGGAUCUCCUGCUGCAUGGUGGGGGUUGGAAAGUUUCGGCGGUUGGGGAUGGACUCGCGGCUUAUCAGCUUGUUGGUGGGGUAGUGGCUUACCAAGGCUUUGACGGGUAGCCGGCCUGAGAGGGUGACCGGCCACAUUGGGACUGCGAUACGGCCCAGACUCCAACGGGAGGCAGCAGUGGGGAAUAUUGCACAAUGGGCGGAAGCCUGAUGCAGAAACGCCGCGUGCGGGAUGACGGCCUUCGGGUUGUAAACCGCUUCCGCCUGUGACGAAGCGUGAGUGACGGUAAUGGGUAAAGAAGCACCGGCUAACUACGUG